Molecule: ribosomal RNA, 457 nt
Filed under: uncultured bacterium
Lineage: Bacteria
Description: partial 16S ribosomal RNA
Rfam family: Bacterial small subunit ribosomal RNA
Source: RNAcentral
CCUACGGGAGGCAGCAGUGAGGAAUAUUGGUCAAUGGGCGAGAGCCUGAACCAGCCAAGUCGCGUGAGGGAGUACUGCCCUAUGGGUUGUAAACCUCUUUUGUCGGGGAGCAAAAGCCGGACGUGUCCGGCUGUGAGAGUACCCGAAGAAAAAGCAGCGGCUAACUCCGUGCCAGCAGCCGCGGUAAUAGGGAGGAUGCGAGCGUUAUCGGGAUUUAUUGGGUUUAAAGGGUGCGCAGGCGGAUUUUUAAGUCAGGGGUCAAAUCGUGGAGCUCAACCCCAUCCAGCCGUUGAAACUGGGGAUCAAGGGGUUGCGAGAGGUAUGCGGAAUGCGUGGUGUAGCGGUGAAAUGCAUGGAUCUCACGCAGAACCCCGAUUGCGACGGCAGCCUACCGGUGCACAACUGACGCUCAGGCACGAACGCGUGGGUGUCGAACAGGCUUGGCUACCCGGUAGUC